CCUACGGGUGGCAGCAGUGAGGAAUAUUGGUCAAUGGACGCAAGUCUGAACCAGCCAAGUAGCGUGCAGGAUGACGGCCCUCCGGGUUGUAAACUGCUUUUAGUUGGGAAUAAAAGGGGGCUCGUGAGCCCCGUAUUGUAUGUACCAUCAGAAAAAGGACGGGCUAAUCCCGUGCCAGCAGCCGCGGUAAUACGGAAGGUCCGGGCGUUAUCCGGAUUUAUUGGGUUAAAAGGGAGCGUAGGCCGACUUUUAAGUCAGCUGUGAAAGUUCGGGGCUCAACCGUGGAAUUGCAGUUGAAACUGGAGGCCUUGAGUGCACGCAGGGCAGGCGGAAUUCGUGGUGUAGCGGUGAAAUGCUUAGAUAUCAUGAAGAACUCCGAUCGCGAAGGCAGCUGGCUGCAGUGCAACUGACGCUGAGGCUCGAAAGUGCGGGUAUCAAACAGGAUUAGAUACCCUGGUAGUC
Molecule: ribosomal RNA, 462 nt
Filed under: uncultured bacterium
Lineage: Bacteria
Description: partial 16S ribosomal RNA
Rfam family: Bacterial small subunit ribosomal RNA
Source: RNAcentral